Molecule: long non-coding RNA, 5405 nt
Filed under: Sus scrofa (pig)
Lineage: Eukaryota; Metazoa; Chordata; Mammalia; Artiodactyla; Suidae
Description: lncRNA (ENSSSCG00000054467.1)
Source: RNAcentral
AAGGCUCUGGCGCCUCCGCCUUGUUCUGUGGAGUCAUCACGCCUGGGGCGGGGCCAGCAGGUAAAAAGCUCGAUGGCACUCAGGCUGCCACUCAGCGAGGAGGCCCCAGGCCCGAGAGGAGGACCCAGGGUCCCCCCAGCCGCCGAGGGUCCCCAGCUGAAGCCCGGCUAUUACAGAGUGGAGACACGCCAUCUCCAUGUGCUGCAUCCAGAGUCCCAGAGCCAAGGACGCCCAUCAUGUCUGUCCCUCGGAGUCUGGGUGGUUUGUUCCACGUAAGAGCGGCUGCAUCAGGCAGGGUCGAGAGGAUGGACCCACAGGCUCAGGUGGAAGAGCCCGGUGUGCUGAGGCCUCACCGAGUCUUAGCUCCCUGCUCGUCCUCCUCCUGUGCUGUCUGAGCUCCCAGGGACUCCUGGCCCUCGAGACGAUAAACAUUCAUGAAAAGUCGGGGCCAAGCUUAUCCUGGCUCAGCUGGAUGGGCUCUGGGCACCUGAAAGGCUGGCUUCUCUAGAACAGGCGUGGCGACACUGGGUUCUCAGCGGUAUUUGGCGAACGAAUGGAGGAGGCUUGGGAGGAAUGAUGACCUGCUCACUGGAAACACCCAGUAGGCAGACACUGGACCUUGGUCAUCUCUGUGACCCCAGGGGCCCUGCGCGUAGUAGGGGUUCAAGUGGCUCCAGUCUAUGACUUGGUCAUAAAUCACAGUCAUUCCUCUUAAAGAGUUUUGAACUUUUCCCCUUUUCUUGGAUUUUUUUUUUUUUUUCCGUAAAGGAUAACGUGGUAAGAAUACAAGCCAACCCUGGACUAUCUGUUUAAUCUUCGUUCCCCUAAAUAUUAGCUCAGUGGGAAAAGGAGUCUAACCUCUCUGUGUAUUUUUCUCUGUAUAUAUUUUUGGCCCGAAGGCUGGAAAAAGCAGGACUAAAGCAAGAUGCUUAGGGAUUCUGAAAAAGAUGGGGAGAAACCGCCUGCCAGAGGGAGGAAGAGGGGUGUCGGGAGGGUGAGAACAGAUGUGACACAUCUCUUCUCGAGAGGCUCUGUCCAAGGGUUUGCCUGUCUUACGUGUGAGCAGUUCUCAAUGACAAGCCACUUGCACCUCAGUGACCCCCGAGGGGAGGACAGUUUCCAUCUGGGCGGCUGCUUGGACCGUCCCUAACCCGGCUGGGGGCGCCCCUCCCAGAGCCCAGAACAUGCCUACAGGCCCUGUGUUCUGGAUCCCGCUCCACCGAACGCACGGGGCUGGACUGCGCUGGUGGUUGUACGGCUUGUCUGUGUAUUAACGGCCACUGCCUUAGACAUGUCCACUGGGUGGAUCUUAUGGCAUGAGAGUUACACGUCACUAAAGCUUUUAAAGACAUAAAAUAUGCUCACUGGAAAAAUCGCAUGGACACCUGCCUCUGUGCGAGUGUGGAUAACACAUACGCACGCAUCGGUAUAUGUUGCAUUUCUACGCAUCUGUGCACGCCUGUAUAUACAGAUACACACAACCGUGUAUGUUACAUGUACAUAUCUCCGUAGAUACAUGUCUCUAGACGCACUUACAUACACGCGUACAUGUAUGUACACAGCUGUACCCGCACGUACAGUUUAACAUAUAAAGAAGAGUGGCCCUUUCUGACGAGCCCCACCCUGAGGAGCAGGAGCCCCCACCACGGGCCUGGCUCUGCUCCUGAUGUGCAGAGGGCCCCUGACAGGCAGUCACGUUCUCUGGACCACGUCCGUCAGUUUCCCCGUUUUCUCUCUCAAAUCAUCUCUCAGCAGCCAGAGUGACCCUUUCAAAACAUCAGUCCUCCCAGCAAAACCCUCCACUGGUUUCCCACGUCUGUCAGAGCAGGAGCCACGGCUUUCACGAUGGUCUUUACAAGCCCUGGCAAGGCCCCGGAGGGAACCGCCCGAUGGAAUUUUCUGCAGUGAUGGAAGGUUCUAGGGCAGCCCCUGGGCACACGUAGCUAUUGGGCACUUGAAAUGCAUCAAUUUACAGUCCGGUUUUCCUUGGACACCGCUGCCCUUCUGUGUGAGUGAGUUCCUGGGAUGGAGAACCUUCCAGCCCACCCUGUGCCCCACCCGCCUGGGAAGCCUCCGUGAGUGGGAAGCUGCGGGUUUGGAUUCCCACAAACGCACAGUAAAGUCCCCAGGGAACCAUCCCCGGGGGCGCGUUUCCUGGGCUGGAGCUCAGUCAUCUUCCCCUCUUGACAAAAACUGACCCUGUGAAACUCUCCGUGAACCUGAAUGCUCCCAAAAUAUAGAUGCAUCCUGGACUCCAUCCCCUCUAGAAAUUCUCUUUUGCUUUUCCUUUGCUCUGGAGCCCUGUGCCCACGUAACACUACCCAGAUCUCCCGAAAUCUGGGGCCGGCUGUUUGUUUCCCGGCUGAUGGAGUCCUCGAUCCCAAGCUCUCACGGCAGCUCCACCAACAGUUUGUCAGUGCAGGGCCACUCUGCUCGCCGGAGCCCGAGCCACGCUUCAGUCUUGGGGCCAAACUCAAUCUGUAAAUGGUAAGAGGCAUUUAGAGUUCUCUCCUGCCCAGCUGACAGUGGGUUUACAGUUUAUAAUCUGGCCUUUGUAAAAGCAUUUGUCAGCCUGGAUGUUUCAUCCUAAGCCCGACCACCCAUGCGGAGGGACAGGCAGGAAGUGACCCUUUAUUUGCACCAACAGUCAUCUUGGAGGUUGGCUGCAGAAUCACAGAAUUCAGUCGCAAAGGGGGACUUUUUUGGCAUUAUCUACUCCGCAUCUCAGCGGCGCGAGCAGCCCUUGUUUAUACGAAGCGAUUCCUGAAUGCUAAAUUUGGAAAUUCUACGUAUUUCUCUAAUCCGCCAGGCCCCAGGCAGGACAGCGGGGCCUCCUCUGAAAAGCUUCUCCACUUCCCCGGCCUUCCUGGGUCUUCAGCUGAACCUCCCAGCGCGACCGGGACGGCCUCAGGCCCCGAGGACCAGGCCGCCGGGGGCCACGCCAGCGCCACCCCGAGCACUUCUCCAUCAGCCCGGGAGGCGCUCCGAGGCCGGCAGCGGUUUUAUUUCUAAGUGUCUGUGUGCACAAGUAUACAAAACGGCUCCCUCCGGGCCGGCCCAGCCUCAUCCUUGGCAGAACCUCAGGGCUCCGGUCCACAGGAGUGGACGGGACGAGGCGGGGAGUCUGGGCAAAGAGAGCCUGGAUUGAUAAGGAAUCGCAGUAGCCGAGCUGGCAUGAUAGCGGCGAAGGAAUGCAAUAUACUAAGGAACACUCAGGUUUUAUCUCUGUUGCUUGAAGACGUUUGCAAGGGAGGAAAUAACACCAUUUCGGGCAACAGAUAAAGGAGAUGGGGCCGCGAUGGUUCCUUUGCUGAGCAGGCUUUCCUCCCCCGCCGCACGCGCCCCAGCCCCCAGCCCCCAGCCCCCAGCCCUACCUGGGUGGAAAGUUGGAAUUUGGCCUUGGGCCUGCCUCCUGCCGCUGCAGCAUCUUAUCACGGGCCAGCCACCCCCCACCUCCCUGGGCGCCAGCCUCUCUUUCAGCCCCUCCCCCCCCACCGCCUCCCCUCCUGCUGCGGGGCCCCCCCACACACCGUAGUUACGCCUCUAGUGGUUUGAACUCCACACCUUAUCACCAUCAGACUCCCAAGGGCAAGCUGGCCGAUGGGCACACAGAUGCAUAAAACUAUGUUCACGUCUCUCCCGGCGCUGGGGCUCCUUUCUUGCCACCUCCAGCUGGGCACAUCCCAGGGACCUACCCAGGGACAGAAGGAGGAACCCACUCGUGUGGACUGUGUACCAGCGGCUGGCUCAUGUGGGGUCACUUUUCCUGUCGGGGGGGGGUGGGUAAGUGGCUGAGCUGGGGGGUAACCCCCUCAAACACCAGUAGGGGAGGGAGGGAGGGAGACGGAAGGGAAGGCGCCUGCAGGACGUCGUGUCCAGCCAGCUACUUAGUGUCAGGCCACCAGAGCAUGGCCCCUCCAGGGAGCUGCAGGGAAGCGUGUGGACAUGCACCCCAAUUACCCACCCAGAGGGGACAGUGAGCUGGGGAGUCACGUGCUAACUCCCUCUCUCCCAUCAUCGUGGGACGAGGACAGUCCCCACGCGCCCACUUUCCUUCCCCGAUGCUGCUGGCCUUUGUGUGCCUGGGCAGAGCCCGCUAUUAGAGCUGGACAGAGACCUCAGGCACAGGGGCAUGGGGGCAGGCAGUUAAGAGCCCCACUGGCAAAAAAUGGCAAGAGUGUGGGAUAUGGAUGGGCACUCACCCAGAGGGGGCAGCCAUGGAGCCCACCCCCAGGCUGUCUUACAUGCUUCACCAUCACCCCACACCUAGGACAGCUGAAGCCGGCUUGUGUGGCACGGAGCCUUCUCCCAAGCCAGGCUUGGUUCUGCUGGUACCUUAUCAGAUCCAAUAAUUGCCCACAACAGCUUUGUGGUUACUUGUCAGGAACCAUAUUAUAUUUGCAUAGAUUUUUCAUUUGUCGCAUUGUAGCUACUCCAGAGCUUCAUGUUACCCUUUAAGUGGCCGUAACCAAAUUCUGUUACAACUGUCUAAACUAUAACCAGAUUCCACAGCCGCUGAUGCCAAAACGUAUUUUCUCCUCUAUCAAUAAAAUGAAGUCUCUAAAAUCCAGAGUUCCAGUAGUGGCGCAGCAGAAACGAAUCCACCUUGUAUCCAUGAGGAUGCGGGUUCCAUCCCUGGCUUCGCUCUGUGGGUCAGGGGUCUGGGGUUGCCAUGAGCUGUGGGGUAGCUUGCAGAUGCAGCUUGGAUCUGGCGUUGGUGUGGCUGUGGUGUAGUCCAGCAGCUGCAGCUCUGGUUCGACCCCUAGCCUGGGAACCUCCAUAUGCCGUGGGAGCAGCCCUAAAAGCAAAGCAAAAAAAAAGACUCUAAUAUCUAGGAGAGCUGUGGAGACCCCUUUUUGGGCUGAGCCCUCACUUGGGCAGAUGUGUAUGGAGUAGCUCCUGCUCUGCCAAUGCUAAUGACCUAAUGCCGCGGCUUCUCUAAGGACAGACAACCAACCUCGAAUACAGGUGAAAUCUGUGAGCGUCACCACCACCAACAGUCCACAUCUGGGGACGAAGGUGCAUAGAGAGGGUGGGUAGAAAGGCGGUCCAAACUCCGCUAUCGAGUGGACUAGGACGGCGUCACACUACUAUUUGUUUUUAUAGACAUUUAUACAUUAUUUUACAUUUGAAGAGACACAGCAUAUUCCUCUUAACCUGAGGACCAGUUUGGAUCCCUGAUUUUGUUGACUGUCCCUCAGAGCUGGCAGGUGAUCUCGAGAGAGCGAUGUAGCGGUUUUUUGAAUUUUUCAUUUAACGGCAGCUAUUCCCAUGUAGUCUCAGGUAGAACUCUGAUAGGUGAAACAGGUAAACCUGAAGCUGUUUUGAUAGAACGUGGGCAAAGUGUUCUAAUUGGAACCUCUGUUUCCCAUCUGCUUGCUCAUGCAUCUCCAUGCAACCCCAAG